AACGAACGCUGGCGGCAGGCUUAACACAUGCAAGUCGAACGCGAAAUCACCUUCGGGUGGUGGAGAGUGGCAGACGGGUGAGUAACGCGUGGGAACCUACCUAGUGGUACGGAAUAACUCAGGGAAACUUGGGCUAAUACCGUAUGUGCCCGAAAGGGGAAAGAUUCAUCGCCACUAGAUGGGCCCGCGUCGGAUUAGCUUGUUGGUGAGGUAACGGCUCACCAAGGCGACGAUCCGUAGCUGGUCUGAGAGGAUGAUCAGCCACACUGGGACUGAGACACGGCCCAGACUCCUACGGGAGGCAGCAGUGGGGAAUAUUGGACAAUGGGCGCAAGCCUGAUCCAGCCAUGCCGCGUGAGUGAUGAAGGCCCUAGGGUUGUAAAGCUCUUUCGGCGGGGACGAUAAUGACGGUACCCGCAGAAGAAGCCCCGGCUAACUUCGUGCCAGCCGCCGCCGUAA
RNAcentral lists this ribosomal RNA (459 nucleotides) under uncultured bacterium. RNAcentral's name for it is "partial 16S ribosomal RNA". It matches the Rfam family "Bacterial small subunit ribosomal RNA", at positions 29 to 523 of the family's 1533-position model. The record is from RNAcentral.